RNAcentral lists this ribosomal RNA (115 nucleotides) under Pteropus alecto (black flying fox). The record is from RNAcentral. Lineage: Eukaryota; Metazoa; Chordata; Mammalia; Chiroptera; Pteropodidae.
GUCUACGGCCAUGCCACCCUGAACAAACUCGAUGUCUGAUCUCGGAAGCAAAGCAUGGUCAGGCCUGGUUAGUACUGGAUGGGAGACCACCUAGGAAGACCAGGUGCUGUAGGCA